RNAcentral lists this ribosomal RNA (328 nucleotides) under uncultured eukaryote. RNAcentral describes it as "partial 18S ribosomal RNA". It matches the Rfam family "Eukaryotic small subunit ribosomal RNA", at positions 1470 to 1796 of the family's 1831-position model. The record is from RNAcentral.
CCCUUAGAUGUUCUGGGCCGCACGCGCGCUACACUGACUACUUCAACGAGUUGUUUCCUUGAUCGAAAGGUCUGGGUAAUCUUUGAAAGGUAGUCGUGAUGGGGAUAGAUCCUUGCAAUUUUUGAUCUUCAACGAGGAAUUCCUAGUAAACGCAAGUCAUCAGCUUGCAUUGAUUACGUCCCUGCCCUUUGUACACACCGCCCGUCGCACCUACCGAGUGAAUGGUCCGGUGAAUCUUUAGGACUGUGGCUGAGGCCUUGCCUUGUGCGGGUCUGGCCGUGGGAAUUUAGUUAAACCUUACCAUUUAGAGGAAGGUGAAGUCGUAACA